UAAGGAAUAUUGGGCAAUGGACGCAAGUCUGACCCAGCCAUGCCGCGUGCAGGAUGACGGCCCUAUGGGUUGUAAACUGCUUUUGUACGGGAAGAACCCCUUCGAUUCUUCGGAGGCUGACGGUACUGUACGAAUAAGCAUCGGCUAACUCCGUGCCAGCAGCCGCGGUAAUACGGAGGAUGCAAGCGUUAUCCGGAUUUAUUGGGUUUAAAGGGUGCGCAGGCGGAAUGGUAAGUCAGUGGUGUAAUCUCCCGGCUCAACCGGGACAGUGUGGAUGAUACGGACGGUCUAGAGUAGAGAUGGAGUAGGAGGAAUGUGUCAUGUAGCGGAGAAAAGCUUAGAUAUGACACAGAACACAGAUCGCGGAGGCAGAGCACCAAGUUGUAACUGACGAUAAUGCACGAAAGCGUGG
RNAcentral lists this ribosomal RNA (412 nucleotides) under uncultured bacterium. RNAcentral describes it as "bacterial SSU rRNA". It matches the Rfam family "Bacterial small subunit ribosomal RNA", at positions 355 to 764 of the family's 1533-position model. The record is from RNAcentral.